CGGCGGACGGGUGAGUAACGCGUGGGUAACCUACCCUGUACACACGGAUAACAUACCGAAAGGUAUGCUAAUACGGGAUAAUAUAUUUGAGAGGCAUCUCUUGAAUAUCAAAGGUGAGCCAGUACAGGAUGGACCCGCGUCUGAUUAGCUAGUUGGUAAGGUAACGGCUUACCAAGGCGACGAUCAGUAGCCGACCUGAGAGGGUGACCGGCCACAUUGGGACUGAGACACGGCCCAA
RNAcentral lists this ribosomal RNA (238 nucleotides) under uncultured bacterium. Its description in RNAcentral is "partial 16S ribosomal RNA". It matches the Rfam family "Bacterial small subunit ribosomal RNA", at positions 96 to 334 of the family's 1533-position model. The record is from RNAcentral.